GACAGCAGUCGCCGCGGGAAUACAGAGGGUGCGAGCGUUAAUCGGAUUUACUGGGCGUAAAGCGUGCGUAGGCGGCUUCUUAAGUCGGAUGUGAAAUCCCUGAGCUUAACUUAGAAAUUGCAUUCGAUACUGGGAAGCUAGAGUAUGGGAGAGGAUGGUAGAAUUCCAGGUGUAGCGGUGAAAUGCGUAGAGAUCUGGAGGAAUACCGAUGGCGAAGGCAGCCAUCUGGCCUAAUACUGACGCUGAGGUACGAAAGCAUGGGGAGCAAACAGGAUUAGAUACCCCCGUAGUCCCUGUCUCUUAUAC
This 306-nucleotide ribosomal RNA is filed under the name uncultured bacterium. RNAcentral describes it as "partial 16S ribosomal RNA". It matches the Rfam family "Bacterial small subunit ribosomal RNA", at positions 507 to 807 of the family's 1533-position model. The record is from RNAcentral.